This 394-nucleotide non-coding RNA is filed under the name Drosophila ananassae. RNAcentral's name for it is "Eukaryotic large subunit ribosomal RNA". It matches the Rfam family "Eukaryotic large subunit ribosomal RNA", at positions 1 to 378 of the family's 3401-position model. The record is from Rfam by way of RNAcentral. Lineage: Eukaryota; Metazoa; Arthropoda; Insecta; Diptera; Drosophilidae.
CAACCUCAACUCAUAUGGGACUACCCCCUGAAUUUAAGCAUAUUAAUUAGGGGAGGAAAAGAAACUAACAAGGAUUUUCUUAGUAGCGGCGAGCGAAAAGAAAUCAGUUCAGCACUAAGUCACUUUGUCUAUAUGGCAAAUGUGAGAUGCAGUGUAUGGAGCGUCAAUAUUCUAGUAUGAGAAAUUAACGAUUUAAGUCCUUCUUAAAUGAGGCCAUUUACCCAUAGAGGGUGCCAGGCCCGUAUAACGUUAAUGAUUACUAGAUGAUGUUUCCAAAGAGUCGUGUUGCUUGAUAGUGCAGCACUAAGUGGGUGGUAAACUCCAUCUAAAACUAAAUAUAACCAUGAGACCGAUAGUAAACAAGUACCGUGAGGGAAAGUUGAAAAGAACUCUG